GAUGAAGAACGCAGCGAAAUGCGAUAAGUAAUGUGAAUUGCAGAAUUCAGUGAAUCAUCGAAUCUUUGAACGCAUCUUGCGCUCCUUGGUAUUCUGAGGAGCAUGCCUGUUUGAGUGUCAUUAAAUUCUCAACUACACUGACUUUGAAUUGGUGUGGCUUGGAUUUGGGGGGAAAAUUGUUGUGGGCUUUUUGUAUAGUCUGCUCACCUGAAAUUGAUUAGCGGUACCUUUGUGGAACUGUCUACAGGUGUGAUAAUUAUCUACAUCUUAGACAUCUGCUGGAAUGCUGCUUUCUAAACCUUACUUGUAUUGACAAUCUUGACCUCAAAUCAGGUAGGACUACCCGCUGAACUUAAGCAUAUCAAUAAGCGGAGGA
Molecule: unclassified non-coding RNA, 376 nt
Filed under: soil metagenome
Description: partial contains 5.8S ribosomal RNA, internal transcribed spacer 2, and large subunit ribosomal RNA
Rfam family: 5.8S ribosomal RNA (bases 1-120)
Source: RNAcentral